Molecule: transfer RNA, 77 nt
Filed under: Oscillospiraceae bacterium
Lineage: Bacteria; Bacillati; Bacillota; Clostridia; Eubacteriales; Oscillospiraceae
Description: tRNA-Pro
Rfam family: tRNA
About the family: Transfer RNA (tRNA) molecules are approximately 80 nucleotides in length. Their secondary structure includes four short double-helical elements and three loops (D, anti-codon, and T loops).
Source: RNAcentral
CGAGGUGUAGCUCAGUUUGGCAGAGCGCGUGCUUUGGGAGCACGAAGCCGCAGGUUCAAGUCCUGUCACCUCGACCA